UGGCGGCAUGCUUUACACAUGCAAGUCGAGCGGCAGCGCGGGGCAACCUGGCGGCGAGCGGCGAACGGGUGAGGAAUACAUCGGAACGUACCCCGGAGUGGGGGAUAACGCCGCGAAAGCGGCGCUAAUACCGCAUAUGCUCUGAGGAGGAAAGUGGGGGACCGCAAGGCCUCACGCUCUGGGAGCGGNCGAUGUCCGAUUAGCUAGUUGGUGGGGUAAUGGCUUACCAAGGCGACGAUCGGUAGCUGGUCUGAGAGGAUGAUCAGCCACACUGGGACUGAGACACGGCCCAGACUCCUACGGGAGGCAGCAGUGGGGAAUUUUGGACAAUGGGGGGAACCCUGAUCCAGCCAUNCCGNGUGCGGGAAGAAGGCCUUCGGNUUGUAAACCGC
This 392-nucleotide ribosomal RNA is filed under the name uncultured bacterium. Its description in RNAcentral is "bacterial SSU rRNA". It matches the Rfam family "Bacterial small subunit ribosomal RNA", at positions 37 to 433 of the family's 1533-position model. The record is from RNAcentral.